GUGGGGAAUUUUGGGCAAUGGGCGAAAGCCUGACCCAGCGACGCCGCGUGAGGGAUGAAGGCUCUCGGGUCGUAAACCUCUGUCAGGAGGGACGAACAGUUGCCGGUCAAUAGCCGGCAAACCUGACGGUACCUCCAAAGGAAGCGCCGGCUAACUCCGUGCCAGCAGCCGCGGUAAUACGGAGGGCGCAAGCGUUGUUCGGAAUUACUGGGCGUAAAGAGCGUGUAGGCGGUUAGGAAAGUCGGGUGUGAAAUCCCCGGGCUCAACCCGGGAACUGCAUCCGAAACUUCUUGGCUAGAGUCUCGGAGAGGAGAGCGGAAUUCCCGGUGUAGGGGUGAAAUCCGUAGAUAUCGGGAGGAACACCUGAGGCGAAGGCGGCUCUCUGGACGAUGACUGACGCUGAGACGCGAAAGCGUGGGGAGCAAACAGG
RNAcentral lists this ribosomal RNA (430 nucleotides) under uncultured bacterium. RNAcentral describes it as "bacterial SSU rRNA". It matches the Rfam family "Bacterial small subunit ribosomal RNA", at positions 354 to 776 of the family's 1533-position model. The record is from RNAcentral.